CUGAAAACUCCAUUGCUCUAGGCUUCCAGCCUCCAUGAUGGUGUGAACCGUGUGAUCCUUCCUAUUUUUCUUCCCAACAAGUCAACAACAAUUAAAUCUUUACGAGAAACUUAGAGAGAAAAAAUAAGUGCUCGCAAGCUAGAGACAACAGCUGCAGGUUUAAGAAGUUAUCAAGUUGCCUGAUCAUCACCGAAAACAUUCAAGGAGAUCAAGAUGGUGUUUGAUAAAGCCCACUUACCUCCAGGUUAUAAAUUUCAGCCGACGGACAAACAACUGAUAGAAAACUAUUUGAUCCCAAAGGUGAAAAAUCAAUUAGAUAUGAAAUCUGUGUGGUACAUAUUUGACAAAAACAUAUACCAGUAUGAGAAUCCCCUGGUCCUUUUUCAAGAGAUUCAGAAGAAUCAUGCAUAUUUUUUCACCCCCACAACCAAGAUCACUUCAAGUGGUAAGAAUGUGAGAAGAACUGCCGGAGAAGGAAAGUGGCACUUAGAAGAUAAGGGUAAACUCAUAAAGGACGAUGAUAAUAAUGAUAUUGGAAAGAAUAGAAUGUUUACCUUCGAAUGGAAUGUUCCCAAGGAA
Long non-coding RNA from Papaver somniferum (opium poppy), 579 nucleotides. RefSeq lists it as uncharacterized. NCBI's taxonomy places the organism in Eukaryota, Viridiplantae, Streptophyta, Magnoliopsida, Ranunculales, Papaveraceae. The record is from RefSeq and is a predicted model, not a curated record. The transcript has 3 exons.